GAUGUUUAUUUAUAAACAGCAAUACUAAUAUUGUAACUCAGGAAGAGUUCAGAAAUCAAUGUCUGGUAAAAUAACCAGGAGGUUUUCAAUGGGGUUCAGUGCAGUAGGCUCUUCA
This is a long non-coding RNA of Poecilia latipinna (sailfin molly), 115 nucleotides long. RefSeq lists it as uncharacterized. The transcript is spliced from 3 exons. The record is from RefSeq and is a predicted model, not a curated record. Lineage: Eukaryota; Metazoa; Chordata; Actinopteri; Cyprinodontiformes; Poeciliidae.